Molecule: ribosomal RNA, 497 nt
Filed under: uncultured bacterium
Lineage: Bacteria
Description: partial 16S ribosomal RNA
Rfam family: Bacterial small subunit ribosomal RNA
Source: RNAcentral
GAUGAACGCUGGCGGCGUGCCUAAUACAUGCAAGUCGAGCGAACGGACGAGAAGCUUGCUUCUCUGAUGUUAGCGGCGGACGGGGGAGUAACACGUGGAUAACCUACCUAUUAGACUGGGAUAACUUCGGGAAACCGGAGCUAAUACCGGAUAAUAUUUUGAACCGCAUGGUUCAAAAGUGAAAGACGGUCUUGCUGUCACUUAUAGAUGGAUCCGCGCUGCAUUAGCUAGUUGGUAAGGUAACGGCUUACCAAGGCAACGAUGCAUAGCCGACCUGAGAGGGGGACCGCCCCCACUGGAACUGAGACCCGGUCCAGACUCCUACGGGAGGCAGCGGUAGGGAACCUUCCGCAUUGGCCGAAAGCCUAACGGGGCACCCCCCGUGGGGUGAGGCAGGUCUCCGGUUCGUAAACCCCUGUUAUCGGGGAAGAACAUAUUUGUAAGAAACUGGGCACAUCUUGACGGUACCGAAUCAGAAAGCCACGGCUAACUACGUG